Molecule: transfer RNA, 84 nt
Filed under: Acholeplasmatales bacterium
Lineage: Bacteria; Bacillati; Mycoplasmatota; Mollicutes; Acholeplasmatales
Also listed under: 2 other names
Description: tRNA-Leu
Rfam family: tRNA
About the family: Transfer RNA (tRNA) molecules are approximately 80 nucleotides in length.
Source: RNAcentral
GCGGGUAUGGCGGAACUGGCAGACGCGCUAGACUUAGAAUCUAGUUCCCCCGGAGUGCAGGUUCGAUUCCUGUUACCCGCACCA